This is a long non-coding RNA of Oreochromis aureus, 938 nucleotides long. RefSeq lists it as uncharacterized. Lineage: Eukaryota; Metazoa; Chordata; Actinopteri; Cichliformes; Cichlidae. The record is from RefSeq and is a predicted model, not a curated record. The transcript is spliced from 2 exons.
GUUUGGCUCCAGCUAUCGGCAGACUAAUUGGAUUCGGUCAAACAAUCCCCAGUGGAACGCUUAUUAUGAUUUAGGCAAGGUGGACACACACUCUGGUUUGAGGGUUGAAGUUUGGGACAAGGACGUAACGUAUGAUGACCUUCUGGGAUCAUGUGUCAACUAUCUGCAGCAGGGGACACACACAUUUACCUGCCCAGCUAAAAGAGGCGGUUUUGAGGUCCGGUACACUUUGACAUGUGACCCUCAUCUGACUGGAGACCGGUGUGAUCGUUACAAACCAUCUGCAAAAUAACCAAUGUAUUUUGAGUUUGCAUGUUUUUCUUUAAUCAUGUGUGAUUGAUCUGUUGAUCUAAUCAAUGUAAAAAUCGUGUGACUGAUCAACUUAUGGAUUUAUUUUACUACAAUUAAGACAUAAUUGUAUUCAAUUUGAGCCUUUAUAUAAGCUAAAGUUCAUUUAUUUAUUUUUAAUCAUAUAAAUCAGGGCUGUAUUCAUAUAUGAAUAUUUUUAAAUGAUAGAAAAAUCAUACUUUUUGGUUUUCAGUAGUUUCUAAUGAUAAAUAAUGACACACACACUGAAUCAGCUGCUGUGUAUUUCUACUAAUUCGUGGAAAAAUGAUCAAAUCCUUCUUGUGUUUUAGGCAAUUAAAUCCAGUUUCACAGACAGUGUUACAUCUAUGUCAGAUUUUGAGAGCAGGACUUAAUGGUGUACAUUACCUUUCUACUCUUAAGGCUUAAAGGGAACAUGAAAUGCUACAAAUAUAAAGGCUAGAUUGGACUUUACUAAAAAAAAAAAAAAAAAAGACAGAUGAAACCAAGAUCAACCUUCUCCAGAAUGAUGGCAAGAAAAAAGUAUGGAGAAGCCGUGGAACAGCUCAUGAUCCAAAGCACUCCAUAUCAUCCGUAAAAAAAAGGCAGAGGCAGUGUGAUGGCUUGGACGU